GUAGCUAAAUGCGGAAGAGAUAAGUGCUGAAAGCAUCUAAGCACGAAACUUGCCCCGAGAUGAGUUCUCCCUGACUCCUUGAGAGUCCUGAAGGAACGUUGAAGACGACGACGUUGAUAGGCCGGGUGUGUAAGCGCAGCGAUGCGUUGAGCUAACCGGUACUAAUGAACCGUGAGGCUUAACCUUACAACGCCGAAGCUGUU
RNAcentral lists this ribosomal RNA (203 nucleotides) under Escherichia coli. RNAcentral's name for it is "partial 23S ribosomal RNA". It matches the Rfam family "Bacterial large subunit ribosomal RNA", at positions 2745 to 2925 of the family's 2925-position model. Lineage: Bacteria; Pseudomonadati; Pseudomonadota; Gammaproteobacteria; Enterobacterales; Enterobacteriaceae. The record is from RNAcentral.